UAAUACGAAGGGGGCUAGCGUUGUUCGGAAUUACUGGGCGUAAAGCGCACGUAGGCGGACUUUUAAGUCAGGUGUGAAAUCCCGGGGCUCAACCUCGGAACUGCAUUUGAAACUGGAAGUCUUGAGACCAGGAGAGGUUAGCGGAAUACCGAGUGUAGAGGUGAAAUUCGUAGAUAUUCGGUGGAACACCAGUGGCGAAGGCGGCUAACUGGACUGGUACUGACGCUGAGGUGCGAAAGUGUGGGGAGCAAACAGG
RNAcentral lists this ribosomal RNA (256 nucleotides) under uncultured bacterium. RNAcentral's name for it is "partial 16S ribosomal RNA". It matches the Rfam family "Bacterial small subunit ribosomal RNA", at positions 521 to 776 of the family's 1533-position model. The record is from RNAcentral.